RNAcentral lists this ribosomal RNA (255 nucleotides) under uncultured bacterium. RNAcentral describes it as "partial 16S ribosomal RNA". It matches the Rfam family "Bacterial small subunit ribosomal RNA", at positions 15 to 253 of the family's 1533-position model. The record is from RNAcentral.
GAUCCUGGCUCAGGAUGAACGCUGGCGGCGUGCUUAACACAUGCAAGUCGAACGGGAAUUACUUUAUUGAAACUUCGGUCGAUUUAAUUUAAUUCUAGUGGCGGACGGGUGAGUAACGCGUGGGUAACCUGCCUUAUACAGGGGGAUAACAGUCAGAAAUGACUGCUAAUACCGCAUAAGCGCACAGGACCGCAUGGUCUGGUGUGAAAAACUCCGGUGGUAUAAGAUGGACCCGCGUUGGAUUAGCUAGUUGGG